CGGGGAGAAAAUUUCUAUUUCCAAGUUUUUUUUUAAAAAAAAAUUCUAUUUCCAAUAGUUCAGAAGAAAGUAGGGAAGUUUGACAUUCAAGACCGUUCUUGUUUUUGCAAAUUGGGAAGUUUAUGUUCAUGCCAAAGACAAUGCCGGUUGCUAUGGGCUUUUACAGUUCUGUCUAAUGAGAAUUGUACUUUUUUUCAUGUGUUUGGUAAAAUGAUAAAAUAUAAUCCUUCUAUGCAUCAAUCUUAAACAUGGAUAAACAAUGGAAUUUAAUAGAGUAAUAUUAGUAAAUUAGGUUCUUGAAGAAUUCAUUCCACUGAAGUAGUUGGGUACUGAAGGAGCAAAAAGCCAGAAAUUAUAGUAGAUAAAAUCCGAUGACAUAUGCACAAAUAUGACGUCCAGGAAAUGACAGAACUAUACAAUUAUGCAGCCCAGAAAAAAGUAGGUUACCACAAACUUUGAAGGAAGCCUUGUAGAGCUGGUGUUACCUGAAAGUGCUACAACCAUACGGGCUAUGCCUAGAAAGAAGAGGUCAUCUUUUCAUACCGUUCCCUCUCUUAUGCAUAAAGAUCAAAUAUCUCUAUCUAUAGUAAUUGACCUGAGUGAUCUCAACUGUAGAUAUCAUCCUUGAAAUGCUCAAAGGUCCUGAGCAGGAAAUGCCUAUGAGUACUACCAUUACUUGUCUUCUCAUGGUGCUAGGUUCAGAGAAUCUGAAAAGCGAGCAACAUUAUGAGAUAAUUUUAGAGAAUACUGAAGCAAAGGCCAGUGCCAGUUCCAGAUGAGGACGCACUGAGAAAUAGUGACAUUUCACUAGAUGACAAGUUGUUACCAUUUGUUUUGUAUCGUUUAUCUUCACUAUCUCAACAGAUCAUCAGUUCUUUGAAAAGAAUCAAUAUCAACAUUCAAAGGCGGAGUUUCUUCGUACUCAGCCACCCGACACACAGGUGACAGAAGAACAAAUGGAGGAAAGGUGGCUUGAGAGUGUUGGUAGUCCCAC
Long non-coding RNA from Lycium barbarum (goji berry), 994 nucleotides. RefSeq lists it as uncharacterized. Lineage: Eukaryota; Viridiplantae; Streptophyta; Magnoliopsida; Solanales; Solanaceae. The transcript has 3 exons. The record is from RefSeq and is a predicted model, not a curated record.